UACGUAGGGUCCGAGCGUUGUCCGGAAUUAUUGGGCGUAAAGGGCUCGUAGGCGGUUUGUCAAGUCGGGGGUGAAAACCCGGGGCUCAACCCCGGAAUUGCCUCCGAAACUGGCAGACUUGAGUACGAGAGAGGGUCGCGGAAUUCUUGGUGUAGAGGUGAAAUUCGUAGAUAUCAGGAAGAACACCAGUGGCGAAAGCGGCGACCUGGCUCGAUACUGACGCUCAUGCACGAAAGCGUGGGGAGCAAACAGG
This 253-nucleotide ribosomal RNA is filed under the name uncultured bacterium. RNAcentral's name for it is "partial 16S ribosomal RNA". It matches the Rfam family "Bacterial small subunit ribosomal RNA", at positions 524 to 776 of the family's 1533-position model. The record is from RNAcentral.